Non-coding RNA from Nesterenkonia sp. AN1, 373 nucleotides. The record is from Rfam. Lineage: Bacteria; Bacillati; Actinomycetota; Actinomycetes; Micrococcales; Micrococcaceae.
GGGGACGAUCGGUUUCGACGAUCUGAGUUGAUCAUGGUGAAGCGGGUCGAGGAUGCAGAGUGACCUCGUAAAUACUUCUCUGCAAAACAAUAAGUGCCGAAACUAAGCGCACUGACUUCGCCCUCGCUGCCUAAGCAGCGACGCGAGUCUGUCAGCCUGGGUCUGCUAUCGACCCAGAUCCUGGCAUCAGCUAGAUAGCCACUGGUUCCAACUCCUCGUCGUGGGGAGUUGGGUCGACAAUUCACACGACUGGGCCCGUCAGCCGCCUGUCUGCGUGACGGCUGGGGCCGAGAAAAUCUAUCAGCAGACUGCACCCGGAGAAGCCCAUGUGAAUCCAGAUCGGACGCGGGUUCGAUUCCCGCCGUCUCCACAG